CCUGCUCUCUGUACUCGCACAUUCCAUAACUCAUUUCCAUUCUCUCACUACAAUUUCCCGACGAUAUAUACAAAUUGUAAGGCACAAAUUCUCCCAUUUUGAAUUCCCAUCUUCAUUCCUGCAGUCAUUCCCUGCACUCAUUCCUGCACUCGCUAUUGAGGGUUAAUUCGUCGAUUUCGCUGUUUGACACCGGCAUUUAGGAUGUUGUUUGUGAGGUCCCGAGGCUGAUUUUGGUUGUGUUCAAUUUAGGGUUUUUCAUCCGUAUCGCUGAGUUUCACAUCACAAUUUAGGGUUUAUGGGUGUCGUUCCAAUUUUUGGGCUAUGUCAUUCCAAUUCUUGGGGAGGGUCCGACUAAUAAUAGCGUAUAAGGUGUGAAAACUUUCUUGAUUUUACUUUUCAAUUCAAGUCCUUGUUACAAUGUCGUCCUCUAGUUCUCAAUCUUUAGGCUCAAGUUUCAACUGGGAUUGGCCUCGUCCACGGAUUGUGUACUGUAAGCAUGAUCUUGAGACUGAGCUCGUGAUAUCUAGGACGACAGCUAAUCUUGGGCGACGUUAUUAUCGUUGUUCAAUAUGGAAGGAAGAUGAUUGCAGAUUCUUUCGUUGGUUUGAUGCGGGUCUAUCGUCAAGCCAAGACACUUACUUUCAAAGGAUCAAACUGGAACGAGACAAGUUUGAAGAACAACUCCGAUGCAAGAAUACUGAGGUGUGUGUUCUUGAAGAUAAAUUGCGGAAAAAAAGUGACGAAUGUGAAGAGCUGAAGUUAAAGCUGAGCAGGAAGAGUGAGGAGUGUGUACGUCUUAAUGUAGAAGUUGUCAAAACCACCAAAAUGUCUCGAAAAAUGAAGAUUGUAAUAUUGUUGUUGUGUGUUGUAAUUGUUUUCCUAAUGUAAUGUUAACAUUUUUCU
Molecule: long non-coding RNA, 903 nt
Organism: Salvia splendens (bonfire salvia)
Lineage: Eukaryota; Viridiplantae; Streptophyta; Magnoliopsida; Lamiales; Lamiaceae
Exons: 3
Source: RefSeq, a predicted model, not a curated record